GAUGAACGCUGGCGGCGUGCCUAAUACAUGCAAGUCGAGCGAACAGACGAGGAGCUUGCUCCUCUGACGUUAGCGGCGGACGGGUGAGUAACACGUGGAUAACCUACCUAUAAGACUGGGAUAACUUCGGGAAACCGGGGCUAAUACCGGAUAAUAUAUUGAACCGCAUGGUUCAAUAGUGAAAGACGGCUUUGCUGUCACUUAUAGCUGGAUCCGCGCCGCAUUAGCUAGUUGGUAAGGUAACGGCUUACCAAGGCAACGAUGCGUAGCCGACCUGAGAGGGUGAUCGGCCACACUGGAACUGAGACACGGUCCAGACGCCUACGGGAGGCAGCAGUAGGGAAUCUGCCGCAAUGGGCGAAAGCCUGACGGAGCAACGCCGCGUGAGUGAUGAAGGUCUUCGGAUCGUAAAACUCUGUUAUUAGGGAAGAACAAAUGUGUAAGUAACUAUGCACGUCUUGACGGUACCUAAUCAGAAAGCCACGGCUAACUACGUG
This 497-nucleotide ribosomal RNA is filed under the name uncultured bacterium. RNAcentral describes it as "partial 16S ribosomal RNA". It matches the Rfam family "Bacterial small subunit ribosomal RNA", at positions 28 to 507 of the family's 1533-position model. The record is from RNAcentral.